Molecule: transfer RNA, 66 nt
Filed under: Caroperla siveci
Lineage: Eukaryota; Metazoa; Arthropoda; Insecta; Plecoptera; Perlidae
Description: tRNA-Gly
Source: RNAcentral
AUUUGUCUAGUAUAAUAAGUAUAUUUGACUUCCAAUCAAUAAGUCUGGAAAAUUCCAGGACAAAUA